Onychostoma macrolepis is the source of this 399-nucleotide long non-coding RNA. RefSeq lists it as uncharacterized. The transcript is spliced from 3 exons. NCBI's taxonomy places the organism in Eukaryota, Metazoa, Chordata, Actinopteri, Cypriniformes, Cyprinidae. The record is from RefSeq and is a predicted model, not a curated record.
CACCAAGUAUCUGUGUGACAAAUGGAGCAAAAGUGAUUUGUGCAUCUGUAGAGGCAGCGGCGGCCCUCUGCAGAGAUCAGAGAAGUUUGACCAAUCAGAAGAGCUACACUGUAUCCGGUUUUUGUUAUUCUUUAUAGUUCUUCGGUUUUUUAUGAUCAAGUUUGUGGAUCUUAUCGUCUGCAACAUCGAGGGUGUAUUUUGGAGCCAUCGCGACAGUGAUUACAUCAGCUGGUUUUAGUCUAUUGUCACCUGCAACGGAGGUGUAUUGGAGUCUUUUCCUGUGAUUGAAUCAUAGAGGUGGUAACAACAGUUUGUGGUCUGGAUCAUGUCAUCUGCAAUACAUUCCAGUUGGAGGCUUUUUUUGUGAUUGCUAUCGUAACGGGGAUAACAUCAACUGGU